This 510-nucleotide ribosomal RNA is filed under the name uncultured bacterium. RNAcentral's name for it is "partial 16S ribosomal RNA". It matches the Rfam family "Bacterial small subunit ribosomal RNA", at positions 28 to 507 of the family's 1533-position model. The record is from RNAcentral.
GACGUACGCUGGCGGCGUGCUUAACACAUGCAAGUCGAACGAAGAGCGAUGGAAGCUUGCUUCUAUCAAUCUUAGUGGCGAACGGGUGAGUAACGCGUAAUCAACCUGCCCUUCAGAGGGGGACAACAGUUGGAAACGACUGCUAAUACCGCAUACGAUCUAACCUCGGCAUCGAGGAUAGAUGAAAGGUGGCCUCUACAUGUAAGCUAUCACUGAAGGAGGGGAUUGCGUCUGAUUAGCUAGUUGGAGGGGUAACGGCCCACCAAGGCGAUGAUCAGUAGCCGGUCUGAGAGGAUGAACGGCCACAGUGGGACUGAGACACGGCCCAGACUCCUACGGGAGGCAGCAGUGGGGAAUCUUCCGCAAUGGACGAAAGUCUGACGGAGCAACGCCGCGUGAGUGAUGACGGCCUUCGGGUUGUAAAGCUCUGUUAAUCGGGACGAAAGGCCUUCUUGCGAAUAGUUAGAAGGAUUGACGGUACCGGAAUAGAAAGCCACGGCUAACUACGUG